RNAcentral lists this ribosomal RNA (250 nucleotides) under uncultured bacterium. Its description in RNAcentral is "partial 16S ribosomal RNA". It matches the Rfam family "Bacterial small subunit ribosomal RNA", at positions 57 to 305 of the family's 1533-position model. The record is from RNAcentral.
GCAAGUCGAACGGUAACAUUUCUAGCUUGCUAGAAGAUGACGAGUGGCGGACGGGUGAGUAAUGCUUGGGAACUUGCCUUUAGGAGGGGGAUAACAGUUGGAAACGACUGCUAAUACCGCAUGAUGUCUACGGACCAAAGUGGGGGACCUUCGGGCCUCACGCCAAAAGAUUAGCCCAAGUGGGAUUAGCUAGUUGGUAAGGUAAUGGCUUACCAAGGCAACGAUCCCUAGCUGGUUUGAGAGGAUGAUC